This 456-nucleotide long non-coding RNA is filed under the name Calidris pugnax (ruff). RNAcentral describes it as "lncRNA (ENSCPUG00000005004.1)". Lineage: Eukaryota; Metazoa; Chordata; Aves; Charadriiformes; Scolopacidae. The record is from RNAcentral.
UACUAAUGUAGGACUGCAUUUAAUUGCAUUUCUUUGCCCACCUCCAGUUUUCUCAGGUUGUUUGUCUUGGUCAUUUAAUUUUAGGAAUCCCUGACAAUCAACUUUGAAAGUAAAGAAAGUUUGAAAAAUGAUGAAGUGACUUCAAGUACAGGAAUGACUCUUCCCACAGGUGUUUCAACCUUUCUCCUAGAGUGUUUAGAUGUAGACUCAAGUGCAGAUUAUAACACAGGUGCUAGUGUCAGCCUGAACAGUUUCUCAUCCCCCGAGACGUUCAGAGAUGAUGAUUCAGAAGAAAGAAGUAAUUUUCACCCUGAGAACAAGAACUCAACUCUCCUGGACUCCAGCAAAGCAGUGGCCAUAGAUAAGAUACCACAGAUCUCAAAUCUUUCAGCAAUAUUAGGUAAUUCUUUUCUGCAAUACUUAAGAAUAUAUAUAUAUGAAGAAAUUUCACUCUAG